UUUUACCUACGGGGCGCAGCAGUGGGGAAUAUUGGGCAAUGGGCGCAAGCCUGACCCAGCAACGCCGCGCGAAGGAAGAAGGCUUUCGGGUUGUAAACUUCUUUUAAGAGGGACGAAGGAAGUGACGGUACCUCUUGAAUAAGCCACGGCUAACUACGUGCCAGCAGCCGCGGUAAUACGUAGGUGGCAAGCGUUAUCCGGAUUUAUUGGGUGUAAAGGGCGUGUAGGCGGGAGCGCAAGUCAGAUGUGAAAACUCAGGGCUCAACCCUGAGCCUGCAUUUGCAACUGUGUUUCUUGAGUGCUGG
This 305-nucleotide ribosomal RNA is filed under the name uncultured bacterium. RNAcentral describes it as "bacterial SSU rRNA". It matches the Rfam family "Bacterial small subunit ribosomal RNA", at positions 333 to 652 of the family's 1533-position model. The record is from RNAcentral.